AUCCUUUUGUGGUUCAUGAACAUGAUGACUGGGAUUUUAGGCUCAUCUGUGAGAGCCUCUCUCAAACCUUGUUAGGGCCUUGGUGGCGCAUUACUCAACUGACG
Molecule: small nucleolar RNA, 104 nt
Organism: Otolemur garnettii (small-eared galago)
Lineage: Eukaryota; Metazoa; Chordata; Mammalia; Primates; Galagidae
Source: Ensembl